Paramuricea clavata is the source of this 388-nucleotide non-coding RNA. NCBI's taxonomy places the organism in Eukaryota, Metazoa, Cnidaria, Anthozoa, Malacalcyonacea, Plexauridae. The record is from the annotation of a GenBank genome assembly.
ACCUUUUUUUCGCUUUCAAUAUCUGAUAAGCCUUAAAACGAUAUACAGUACAUGCAGAAAAACAUGCUUGCUCAAUUGAUCUAAUAUAAGAUGUAGUUAACUUUUUUGGUGUCAACUGACGUUUUCAUUCGCCUUUCGCAGGGAUAACAUGCCUGACUCUAAGAAAAAAUUGCUUUCCGAAAUAACAUCGACUAUUGAAAAACUGAUGAUCAGAACUACUGUAUAGUCCCAAUCUCGCUCGUUAUUCUCCAGGAUCUUCAUAUACUCCACGGUCGUUCAUUAUUUAUUCUUGCGUUUGGAACACAAGAACUGAAAACUGUGUAACAAUUUUAAUUGCUCAGGAAUGGCGCCGAAAACAUAUACCGUAAACCUCCAAAUAUAAGCCCCC